Molecule: small nucleolar RNA, 99 nt
Organism: Aotus nancymaae (Ma's night monkey)
Lineage: Eukaryota; Metazoa; Chordata; Mammalia; Primates; Aotidae
Source: Ensembl
AUUUAAAGAGAAAAACAACCCCAUUAAAAAGUGGGCAAAGUAAGGUAUUUGGGGAACAGGGAUGCUAAUUCCCAUUGCCUUCCUUGGCUGCCUACAUGG